AACGAACGCUGGCGGCAUGCCUAACACAUGCAAGUCGAACGAGACCUUCGGGUCUAGUGGCGCACGGGUGCGUAACGCGUGGGAAUCUGCCCUUGGGUUCGGAUAACAGUUAGAAAUGACUGCUAAUACCGGAUGAUGUCUUCGGACCAAAGAUUUAUCGCCCAAGGAUGAGCCCGCGUAAGAUUAGCUAGUUGGUGAGGUAAUGGCUCACCAAGGCGACGAUCUUUAGCUGGUCUGAGAGGAUGAUCAGCCACACUGGGACUGAGACACGGCCCAGACUCCUACGGGACGGCAGCAGUGGGGAAUAUUGGACAAUGGGCGAAAGCCUGAUCCAGCAAUGCCGCGUGAGUGAUGAA
This 356-nucleotide ribosomal RNA is filed under the name uncultured bacterium. RNAcentral's name for it is "bacterial SSU rRNA". It matches the Rfam family "Bacterial small subunit ribosomal RNA", at positions 29 to 412 of the family's 1533-position model. The record is from RNAcentral.